Long non-coding RNA from Lolium perenne, 7744 nucleotides. RefSeq lists it as uncharacterized. The record is from RefSeq and is a predicted model, not a curated record. Lineage: Eukaryota; Viridiplantae; Streptophyta; Magnoliopsida; Poales; Poaceae.
GGGUUGCUACGUUUCCCCCUGGAGAUCAGUGAGGGCAUCCGCAUUUUCUGAACAACCUGUUUCUUCUCUCAUGACGUCCCUCUCCCCCACCGUAUUGCCGCCACCGCCGGCUCUCGACCGGCGCCGACCUAUUCCCGCGCCGCCGCUCACCGGAGCGGCACUGCGUUGGUCUCCUCCGCUAUUUCCCUGCCCCCGUGACGCCACUCCAUCCCCGUGUGUGACCCUAGCGGAAACCCUAUUUGACACAGUCGCCGGCGCCGUUGCCGCUGCUCCGGCGCCGAGGAAUCCCUGGCAUCCGAGUCCCGCCUUGGCCACCCUCCGCUCUCUGCAAGCGGGAUGUCCGAGGCCCUGUGCUCCAACUCCCAAGACAUUCCUUUCCCAUCCUCUUCGCAUCGCCAGAAUGGCCGCGGACCCUAACGAGCUCGGCCGGAGGGUCGUUGCCGUACGUAUUGUGGACUCCGACGCCGCCGGCACCAGCAAACUCAUGCGUGCCGUCGAGGACGCCGAGAAAACCAUCCGCCAGCAGGUGACCCUAGUGUCCAAUUCCCCAUCCCCCUCGCCCCGACCCUUUAUUGAGAGCGAAUCCUCUGUGAUGUCAUUGAUACGAGUGCCUGUAUCUCUUACGCACACGCACAGCUCGAGGAGAACGGCCGCCUGAAGGACAUAGGCAUGUACUUCAUAGGUUAACUAGCCAUCUUUCCACGCUUGGUUCGAGCUGAAGCUUAGUAAGGUGGUAGCAAAAUUCAGCUGAUGGGCAAGACCCAGGAGGUUCACAGAAUCCUACCGAUAUCAUCUUGUGGAAGUCUAGACGUGCUACAGUUGGUGUUAUAUUUGGUGCUACCAUUGCAUGGUGGUUGUUUGAGAAGUCUGAGCUGUCAUUCUUGACUAUCUGCUGUGAUUUACUGCUCAUUUUGACUUGCAGAGUAAGCAAGGAACCCAUAUCCCUGCUUUUAUGUUCUUAAAUAUUCCAACGGAGGUGUAUCUAUAUUUUCUUGUCGGUAAAUUAUUGUAGCCAACCUAGGAGUUAGUUUCUAAAGUGCAAGCUGUUAACUUCAACGGAAUUUAGUAGUCAAAGAUGGUCAUGAAAAUAAGAAAUUUCAGAAUUUCAUGAAAAUUCUUUUAGACCUUCAGUGUUCAGAGUGAGUGGAUUAAGCAUGUAUGGCUGCUGUUUGCAUAGGUUCUGUGGAGCUUACAGAUUGCUUAAAUUUAAUUGCUAGUCUUCCACAAGUGGCUUUUAUGUUUACUGUAGGUAGCUUCUCUUUUAUUGUAUGCACUAUCUUGGAUUACACUAACCAGAACAUGGUAUAUCUGUAAUUGAAGGUUUUUUCAAAUUCAUAUUUUGCAUUUCCAGACUUGAAAUCUUACCCCUGCAACAAUAUGUUUGUAGUGCGAUUAUGGACUCUGUUGGAUGUGAAGAUUCUUUAGCUAGAUGUUUGCAACCUAGAUGUUUCAUUGUGUCAAAAGGGCCAGGGCUCUAGCUAAUUGCUCCUUUUUUUGAGAUACUAGCUAACUGCUCUUUCAUACUGAAAGCAAGCAUCUAACAUACUGGAUCUACUUGGCUUCGUUUAUAUUUUGCUUUGUUGUUGUAGAUUUGAGAACUAUCUAGCAAUGUAGUGAUCAUUAGAUUUGUGCCGAAGUUUGUCUCCAUUGUCAGUUAAGGUGAAGUACCAAAACAUCAUGUUCUCAUUUGAUUCUCCAUUAAUAAACCCAAUGAAUACAACAAUUUCUCUUUGUUUCUCAUGAUCUUAUCUGAAAGUUACCAUGUAUCUCUUGAAUUGAUUAUAACUAAUUUCUUGAUGUUUACUUUGCGGGACUGGAAAACUUACAUUUGGUUUGACAUGUUCAUAUUUGUUCUUUUUUUAUUGAAGUUGUAGCUCUAUAAUUUGUAAUUCCUUGCAGUUUUCUUCUGCAUGGUUUUAUGGUCAUUUAACUGGGAAAAUAUUCGCUUUACAUUUCUCAUUAAAUUCAGUUGUACCUUCAGAUCAACUAGUGGUGGUCUCUCAUGUAUGUCAUGUUGAAGAUGACAAUGGACUUGAUCUGGAGUGGUAUUUGGUUCACACAUGGGACAUACAAAUACAACAUAGUUUUUGAAUGAAUUACCCGUUAUAAUUAAUAUUGCAUAAGGGAAAUACCUGUAGCUUGAUUGCAUGUGAAUGCCAAAUUCUAUAUCUAUCAGUACACACAUGAAAUUUUAACCACUUUAUUAUAUCUAUCAGUAAAGUUUUUGAAUGAAUUGCCCCUUGUAAUUAAUAUCCGUUAUAAUUAUAUCUAUCAGCUCAUGAUAGAAUUUAACCCAAGGUAAGGACAAACUUAUCCGUGUUGUUGUUUCAAAUGUCCUUAUUUCUUUACCAGUAGAUUAGGAAUAAACCGUCUGGUAGUAAACCAAGGGGCAAUUAACUAUAUGUCAUUGAGUGAGUGCGACAUGGAUUGCUCGUGUAGUAUACUGUGAUUAGAUGGUUGGAUACCUAUUGAUUACUUGUCUCAUCGAUCAUUAUCUGGUUGUUCUCGGAAGCAUUAGUUAGGCUGUGUAUGUUACAUAAGUAACUACCUCUGGAUUGGUUAAUUGCUCUCGUGUGGCGCUAUUUUUCCCCAUCCAUCGUCUUUAAUGUAAGAUCAGAGUUACUCGCUGAUCAUGCAUGCACCCUCCUCCCUCCAUCGUAUUAUCAAAUAUUUAAUUCAUCUGAAGUCUGCAUCAGUUGCUUGUUUUAGAUGCCCUGUUGUCUUAUGCCUUGCCCAUCUCCCCCUCACUAUUUGAAUCACAAUCACUAUCUAUGUGUGAACUUGAAACAUGCAAGCAACUUCCCAAUUAUUAUCUUACUUAUCUUAGACCCCAAACUGUUGCACAGACCAUACUAGUUCAACAGACCAAACUGUUGCACAGACCAUACUAGACCCCAAACUGUUGCACAGACCCCAGCUGCUCUUUCUUUAAUAUUGGAACCCUUUUUUUGUGUCCACUGCUCUCGAAACUUUUCCUUCUUAUUUGUAUCUGUUAGGGGCUUGUGAUUGUAAAGCUUACAAGAUUUUCUGUGGUUUCCAUCAUCGAUGGCAAGAAAAGAGCAGAAUAAUGUUAAAUUACCCCAGAAAGACAUCACCAGAGCAUGACAUCGGAUAUUUGUGCUCAUGUGUGCAAUCUGGAAGGGAGGGCAAAAGUAUAUUAUCCAUCUUCACUAAAAUCCAGGUGACUGAAUUAUUGUUUUACUACCCUACUUUGUGUGUAGUUCAUGAUUCUUAAAGCUAUCAACAUGGGUCAGCAACGACAAGAUCCAGUUGCUCAAUGGAAGGUGGUGAUAGUGGGGAGACAGAGGCGGUGGUGGAUGUGCUCGAGUUCACUGUCACAGGGGGGGCCAUGGGUUGACAUCUCCAUAAGCAGGCCAAAGCAGGCACAAGUGAGCCGCUCGCCCCAAGCAGCUAGCCACUCUUCUUCUCACUCUCCAUCCAUUGCCUCUCUCUAAAUGUCUCUGUUUUAUUGUCUUUCCUUCUUCUCAUUUCCAGCAUGAAGGCAUCACUGGCUGUUGUUGCUACCAGUAGAGAGGAUAGAAUUCAGUAACAUGUCUGUAAUUGCAGUGGCAAUAAUGGCUAGAGGAUAGAAUUCCAACUGAACUGUUGGGUGAAGAUUUAUGUUGAAAAGAUUUUGUGUUCCGUGAAACAACGGAUGACCUGGCAUCGGAUCCAGUGCUUGAAGAUGCAUACGCCCUCAAGAUGCUUCAGAUUUUAUUGCAAUGUUGCAGGUUUGCUCACACAAUGGUAACAUCUGAUCCUUACAAUGCAUUCUUUUUUUCGAGAAAACGCAAAGGACCUUUGCGUUUCAUUUCAUUGAAAAGGAAGAGUUUGGGUUACAUCCUCCUAGGAGGCAAAACACAGGAAAAUGCAAGAAAAGAUCAGUGCACGUCCCAGGUGGCAAUGCAUUCUUUUUGGCGGCCUACAAAGAUAUUUUUGUGCAUAUUUAUUUAUGUAAAUACAUAUGAGGCCUGUUUAUGGCUCAUCCCUGAUCUAUAAUCUAAAUAGACUGAGAAGCUUUCUUUUCAACGAUUUUUCUAGACAUGUUGGUCCACAUGAUCAUUUAUAUAUCAUCGCCUGUGUUUCACAUAGAUUUCUUCAUUUUAACAAUUUGAUCAACAAUAUCAUAAAAAUAGGGAUAACUGAUAGUUUGGAUGAACACGUGUAUAUUGAACUCCAUAUAUUAUGUUAUUAUGAGAAAGAAUUCAAUCCAUGUUCUGAUAUCUAAUUUUAAUAUUUUGGCUGCUUGCAAGUGCCACUUUUGAGUUCUCUCUGCUCAUUAUAAGAAUAUCAGCUCCAGAGUUCUCUUGCUAUCAGGUUACCAAUGAACCACCGGUUACUUUUCUUAGUUUAUAAAAAAUGGGAAUAUAUUAUUUCAGCUUAUAAGUAUUUUUUUAACCAAAAACAGUAUUCCAACUUCACCUGUCUAUAUUGCAAAAAAGACCUGAUUGUACUUUUUUUUUUUUGAACUUGGGCUUAUAUUAAUAAUUAAGAUGGAGCAAUUCUGUUACAGUCACUCUCGGCAUAACACAUCACACAGGAUGGUAGAGAGCCGAGUAAAACACACACACCGGAAGCAAGAAGCCCUAACCUAGCUAGCUCAUGAGCUACCUGGUUGUUUCCUCUGUUUACCUUGGAUAUACUGUAAGUAGGGAAACCCAAAAGCAAAGUCUUAGUAUCUUUCACGACAUCAGCAAUGGCUGAUUUUGAGGUAGUAGGUCCUUUCAGUUCACUGAUUAGAGUGGCACAGUCGCUUUCGACAGUGAUAGGGCCUGCGAAGCUCGGGAUGGUAGCUUUGAUUCCUUAAGCAAGCAAACGCUUCAGCGGCUUCAGCGUUGCUACAAUGUUGAAUGUUUCCCCAAGCAGACAAAAUAAUGGUACCAUUUUUGUCACGCAGAACAGCUCCCCAGGCUCCUGAGUUUGUGUCUUCACUGAAACUUGCAUCAGUAUUCAGCUUUGCCCAUCCCAUAUCUGGAGGUUUCCAACCUUCAGCGAUUUUCUUUGGCUUGGAAUCUGUUUGUUCGUCUUGGCAGAAAACAGGCUUUUUACCUUUAGGGUCUACCACGUCCCAGUUUGUGUUGGUUACCUGCAUAGGAGAUAAGUAUGAUUGUAGAAAAAUAGCAGACUCUUCGAUGUUACAUUUACCAUCUCCAAAAAUGAUGUUGUUUCGCAGGUGCCAAGACCUCCACCAGAGUAGCAUGAGCUUCGAUCUUGUCUCAGUAUCAACCUGAUUGAGCAAGAUCAGCACCCAGUCCUUGCCGGUGAAUUUUAGUUUCUCUUCAUCUGGGAGAUACCAUGUGUCCCUCAUUUUCUGUCUCAGGGCUUUAGCCUUCGUACAAAUCAUAACAGCAUGGUGGCUAGUUUCUGCUUCCACUCCACAGAUUUGACACGUUGGAAGAUGCUCCAUGUUUCUUUCAUAUCUAAGAACUUGAACUCCCAGUGUAUCAGUCGCAAGCUUCCAAGCAAACACACGAACCUUUGGUGGCACUUUUGCAUUCCAAAUAAUUUUCCAUAAAUCUCUUUCGCCCGGGGGCCUGCAGCUCUGUCCAGCCCCAUCAGUCUUUGAAUUUAUCUCAACUGCGAGUCUGUAAGCACUCUUAACCGAGAAAAAACCAUUGUUCUCAUGGUUCCAUGCAAUGUAGUCAUUCCCAUUGAAAGAAGGUAUUCUGAUAUUCAGGACCAUUUCAGCAUCUGGUGGGUGGAAGAUUGUGCGCACCAGAUCUUCUUUCCAAGACUUAGAAGAAGGGUCGAUAAAGUCGGACACCCAUCUUAGUCUUGAUUUACUAGCAUUUCCAAAAACCUUUAGGUUUCCUCUAGGCACCCAGUUGUCUCGCCAAAUCCUAAUUUUUUCGCCAUUGACGACGCGCCAGAUUACACCUUUUUUCAGUAGAUCCAGCCCGUGGGCAAUUCCUUGCCAACAAGGGGAGGAAUUUUUGAUGAAGGCAGUGUCGAUUAGAUCACCAGCUGGGUAGUAUCUCGCUUUAAGCACUCUUGCACAUAAACUCUCAGGGUGCUCAAUCAGCCGCCAAGCUUGUUUAGCCAAGAGGGCUUGGUUGAAAAGCCGCAAAUCUCUAAAUCCAAUGCCACCCUGCAGUUUUGGUCUUGUCAUUUUGUCCCAGCCCAUCCAGUGUGUUUUCCUUUGAUCCUCUUCAUCCCCCCACCAGAAGUUUCUAAUGAUUUGGGAAAGGUCAUCACAUAGGCCAGCUGAAAACUUGAAAACGCUCAUAGCAUGACAGGGUAUUGCUUGAGCGACAGAUUUUACUAAAGUUUCUUUUGCUGCAGAGGACAUGUUUUUCUCUGACCAGUCUGUACACUUUUUUCGCAGUCUCUCCUUGGUGUACUGGAGUUUACCAUUUUUCAUCCUACCUUCAGGGAUUGGUAGACCCAGAUACUUUCCAUCAAGAGUCGAGAUAUCAGCUUUCAACAGAUUUGCCACAGCUUCCCCUUCGUUAUGGCUGCAAUUUUGCCCCAACAUCAGAGUGCAUUUCUGUUGGUUCAGCAACUGCCCCGACCCUCUUUCAUAGCUGCGCAGAAUGUCAUUAACAGUUGCUGCCUGAUUCAAACUUGCUUGGAAAAAUAAGAGGCUGUCAUCAGCAAAGAGAAGUGUAAAUAAGUGAUCACCACCAUGGUUUUCAUCCAUGAAGGAAUCUGAUUGUCCAAGCGCAUCCAGGAACCUCCGUUCUGCAAGCUGCACCAUAACUGAUAAGGCAGACACCAUGAUAUUUAUUUCCAUUUGAUUUUGCUACUAGGAUACCAUGAUAUUAUCUACUUGUACAAAUACAGUAGACAGCAUGCAUUCAAUGUUCGCAGCUCUUGAUGGCAAUUUAGCUUAACAUCGUGGAUCAUUAUUGUAUACUUACAAUACUUGGAAUGGUAUUAUGUUUUUCUCUUAAAUCUUAUUAACCUUCCUCUGUAUGGAUCUAUGGUAGGGAAAUUUUAUUCUCAAUUACCAAAUUAAAUCACAGACAUUCUCAUAUACUUUCUUCCUCACAUAUAGAACAUGUACUUUCUCAUCAGCCAAUGCAUGUAGAACAGGAUUAGAGGGCACCUGUCAGACAUUCUUCUCUCAGCGACAGUGAUACACUGGAUACUCUCACAGAUUAUGAACUUAUGGUGAAGGGUCUUCCACAUAUUAGUGCUGAAUCAGAUGACCAUUUCAUAUUGAUUACAAGUCAGCUUUCUAAGCUCUGUCAUAUAGUAUUGCUUCAUUCUGCAAUGUACAUUCUUAUUUAAAUAGCAGCACUUUGUAUCUGAAAAUGCAUCACUGGACCAUCUGAAAAUGCAUCACGGGAGCAGCACUGAUAUGCUACAAAGAAUAUGAGUAUGUAAUUACUUUUUUGUGCUAUGAAGCUGUCACCUACUUGAGUUACCGUAAAUCACAGGCUUAUUCUUCAGCAAGCAAUUCAAGUGAUUGGAGUUAUGUUGCAUGAAUUCAAAAUUACCGACAUGGGUGACGGUGAUCUGACUACUUGGUCAGAAUGGGAUGACAAGGAAGAUGGUAACGAAGCUGUCCAGCAAUGGGAGAUGGUUGGACGUCUGGAGAAACUAAAAUACUCAGAUGAAGUGAACUAGUUGCCUAGCAAUGGCAAGCUACCGUACAUCUGUCUUCGUUGAGGCAUGGAGGAUCAUUGUGAAUAUUGGUUCCAUGUUUUCUUCAGGUUAUGUAAUGAUGUCAUAAGUUAAUUGCGAAUAAAUGAUGUUAUAAGUUAACUGAACAGUAAUAGCAUUGGUCAUACUACAUCAA